RNA transcript from Eurytemora carolleeae, 1747 nucleotides. RefSeq lists it as uncharacterized. The record is from RefSeq and is a predicted model, not a curated record. The transcript is spliced from 7 exons. Lineage: Eukaryota; Metazoa; Arthropoda; Copepoda; Calanoida; Temoridae.
UAUUGUUCAUUUAAAAUGUUGUUUUGAUGACAUUUCAAUGAUAUGAAAUUAAGCAAUGAAAAAGAUUGUAACACUUCACGAAUUUAAGAACUUCAAUGGGACAGAUUGACUCUAAAGAGUUUAUGGCUGGAAGCUACAAAACUUUGCGGUCAACUUAUUCGCAAAACAGAGCGAAAGAAAAACUGGAUGACCCUCUUCCAGAAGAUGAACAAGAUGGAACGGAAAAAAUAACAGUUUUCCAAAACAAUAUUGAAACAACCGGAAAACGACAUUUUAACAAAUUGGAGAGAGAACAACACGCGGCAACACGACCACCUUUUAAUAAUCGAGAUCAUGAGGAAAAGUCUGAAUUUCAAGAUCGCAGAUUUUGUUCCAUAUUCCGCAGUUUAAAUAUAAAAGAUGAGUUCCUACUGUUAAAAGAGGAUGUUGAAAGUUUCAAGACGACAUUUAAGAUAAAAUUUUUAGAAAUAUAUUAGAAAUAAUUUUGUAGCAAAUAUGUUGAAAUGAAAAACAAGUAAUAAACGGCAUUUUGUUUUCCAUUUUUUUUAUUUGGGAGUUAUAAUAAAUGGUUUUAUCACUACUUGGUUCAGGUAUAAUUAAAUGUACCAAAACCAUGAGAUGCAAUUAUUUGGUGCUAUGUCAAUGAUGGUUGAAUGGACUAACUGUCAAUUCUACUUAAGUCAGCUGUUCACUGAAUUUGUGCUUUAGCCUUUAGUACAUAAACUUUAACUUGGCUUAUAAUCAUUUAGAAAAAAAAAAUGUUUAAGUGCAAAUUUGAAGGAUGUAAAAUUGGACAUUUUGAUAUCCUGUUCAGCAUUGAUAAUUAAUAAUUAUAUUUAAUUUUUUUGUCUAAAAUUUUAAUUCUGCUAUAUGUAAAUGAGUGUUUUGUGAAACAACACUAAUCUUGUUUUUUGACCCACCCUGUUUUUUAGAAAGCAAAACAUUAUUAAAAUUUUUUAGAAGGCUUAUCUGUCCAAAAUAGUUAAAAUUAAUAUUAGUCAUUUGUAAAAUUGCGAAAGCUCAUCUGAACAGCUUUGAUUUGUAAUGUUUUAACUAUUUGCUGGUUUAAAUUUGAUAAAGUUAGACUAAUUUUUGUGUAAGAGGAUUAAGUUAUGGAUUAAUAAUAACCUAAUUUGAACAACUGAAUAAAUUCAAAGCAUGUUAAAUUCUUUUUUAUUUCCAAUAUGGCGUCGUAAACAUGGAAUAUAGCGUUGAGGAAUUUGCUAUGUGCACAGGGUGAAAGUCAUGACUACGCGUAUCCUAUUCCUCAGGCAAAGUGUGGGGUCGACCUGUUGACCUACCCAGCUGCUACCAUGGAUGGAUUAGGAAACCCAAGGUGGAACAACUCCUAAAACAGGGUCCAGAUGGAUUCUACCUGUUAAAGAAUUCAACAGAAUUUCCUGGGGACUUAACUCUGUGUGUCUGGCAGGAAGACAAAAAUUCUAAGGAUCAGUAAUCACAAACUAACAAUAGACCACAAAACGUACUUUCAAAAUUUAGACGAUCUCCUGUUUGAGUACAAGAGGACUGAUACACUAGGCGUGAGACUGGUUUUGCCGUGUCUAAAAGAAUUUCCAAACCAAAAAAAUUCUGGACUGCAGGGCACGUGCAGAACGGGUCGGUACAGCGCGCAACAAAUAAAAGAAAACGCUGGCACAACUGGUAGAGUCAAGUUGCGAACCAAUUAACAGAUUGGAUUUUGGCCUGGGAUUACCCAGCAAAUAAUUAGACUGAUGUAGUUAAAAAA